UUUACAAGUAUUAAAGGUUUCGCCUGCCCAGUGACUCUUUAAACGGCCGCGGUAUCCUAACCGUGCAAAGGUAGCAUAAUCACUUGUCCCCUAAAUCGGGACUAGAAUGAAUGGCUAAAUGAGGACUAAACUGUCUCUUACGGACUGGCCAAUGAAAUUGAUUUCCCAGUACAAAAGCUGGGAUAUACUCAUAAGACGAGAAGACCCUGUGGAGCUUCAAAACCAAACCACCCAGCAUGCUCCUUGGAUUUUUAGUUGGGGCGACUUCGGAAUAUAAAAAAACUUCCAAAAAACAAUUUUAUUAAGGUUAACACACCAAAAUUAACCCAUUAGACCCAGCAACUAACUGUUGUCUGAUUAAUGAACCAAGUUACCCCAGGGAUAACAGCGCAAUCUCCUUUUAGAGUCCAUAUCGACAAGGGGGUUUACGACCUCGAUGUUGGAUCAGGACACCCCAAUGGUGCAGCCGCCAUUAAAGGUUCGUUUGUUCAACGAUUAAUAGUCCUA
Molecule: ribosomal RNA, 507 nt
Filed under: Lacerta agilis (Sand lizard)
Lineage: Eukaryota; Metazoa; Chordata; Lepidosauria; Squamata; Lacertidae
Description: partial 16S ribosomal RNA
Rfam family: Bacterial large subunit ribosomal RNA
Source: RNAcentral